GACGAACGCUGGCGGCGUGCCUAAUACAUGCAAGUAGAACGCACAGUUUAUACCGUAGCUUGCUACACCAUAGACUGUGAGUUGCGAACGGGUGAGUAACGCGUAGGUAACCUGCCUGGUUGCGGGGGAUAACUAUUGGAAACGAUAGCUAAUACCGCGUAAUAUUAAUUAUUGCAUGAUAAUUAAUUGAAAGGUGCAAUUGCACCACUACCAGAUGGACCUGCGUUGUAUUAGCUAGUAGGUGAGGUAACGGCUCACCUAGGCGACGAUACAUAGCCGACCUGAGAGGGUGAUCGGCCACACUGGGACUGAGACACGGCCCAGACUCCUACGGGAGGCAGCAGUAGGGAAUCUUCGGCAAUGGACGAAAGUCUGACCGAGCAACGCCGCGUGAGUGAAGAAGGUUUUCGGAUCGUAAAGCUCUGUUGUAAGAGAAGAACGGGUGUGAGAGUGGAAAGUUCACACUGUGACGGUAUCUUACCAGAAAGGGACGGCUAACUACGUG
Molecule: ribosomal RNA, 505 nt
Filed under: uncultured bacterium
Lineage: Bacteria
Description: partial 16S ribosomal RNA
Rfam family: Bacterial small subunit ribosomal RNA
Source: RNAcentral